This 494-nucleotide ribosomal RNA is filed under the name uncultured bacterium. RNAcentral's name for it is "partial 16S ribosomal RNA". It matches the Rfam family "Bacterial small subunit ribosomal RNA", at positions 28 to 507 of the family's 1533-position model. The record is from RNAcentral.
GACGAACGCUGGCGGCGUGCUUAACACAUGCAAGUCGAACGGUGAAGCGCCUUCCUUUUUGGUGGGUGUGGAUGAGUGGCGAACGGGUGAGUAACACGUGAGUAACCUGCCCCCUUCUUCUGGAUAACCGCAUGAAAGUGUGGCUAAUACGGGAUAUUCUGGGUCUGUCGCAUGAUGGGUCUGGGAAAGAUAUUGUUUCGGUGGGGGAUGGGCUCGCGGCCUAUCAGCUUGUUGGUGGGGUGAUGGCCUACCAAGGCGGUGACGGGUAGCCGGCCUGAGAGGGUGGACGGUCACACUGGGACUGAGACACGGCCCAGACUCGUACGGGAGGCAGCGGGGGGGAAUAUUGCACAAUGGGCGCAAGCCUGAUGCAGCGACGCCGCGUGAGGGAUGGAGGCCUUCGGGUUGUGAACCUCUUUCGCCAGUGAAGCAGGCCUGCCUCGUUUGUGGGUGGGUUGACGGUAGCUGGAUAAGAAGCGCCGGCUAACUACGUG